GUAUUGAAAGUGUUGAAUAGAAUGUUUACUUAGGAAUGUCUAUAAACAUUAAAGGAAGACUGAAAACACAC
Molecule: non-coding RNA, 71 nt
Organism: Myotis brandtii (Brandt's bat)
Lineage: Eukaryota; Metazoa; Chordata; Mammalia; Chiroptera; Vespertilionidae
Source: Rfam